AUUGAACGCUGGCGGCAUGCCUACACAUGCAAGUCGAACGGCAGCACGGGAGAAAUCCUGGUGGCGAGUGGCGAACGGGUGAGUAAAGUAUCGGAACGUGCCCAGUCGUGGGGGAUAACGUAGCGAAAGUUACGCUAAUACCGCAUACGAUCUAUGGAUGAAAGCGGGGGAUCGCAAGACCUCGCGCGAUUGGAGCGGCCGAUAUCAGAUUAGGUAGUUGGUGGGGUAAAGGCCCACCAAGCCGACGAUCUGUAGCUGGUCUGAGAGGACGACCAGCCACACUGGGACUGAGACACGGCCCAGACUCCUACGGGAGGCAGCAGUGGGGAAUUUUGGACAAUGGGCGAAAGCCUGAUCCAGCCAUGCCGCGUGCAGGAUGAAGGCCUUCGGGUUGUAAACUGCUUUUGUACGGAACGAAAAGGACUGCCCUAAUACGGUGGUCCCAUGACGGUACCGUAAGAAUAAGCACCGGCUAACUACGUGCCAGCCGCCGCCGUAA
Molecule: ribosomal RNA, 499 nt
Filed under: uncultured bacterium
Lineage: Bacteria
Description: partial 16S ribosomal RNA
Rfam family: Bacterial small subunit ribosomal RNA
Source: RNAcentral